Patella vulgata (common limpet) is the source of this 1153-nucleotide long non-coding RNA. RefSeq lists it as uncharacterized. The record is from RefSeq and is a predicted model, not a curated record. The transcript has 10 exons. NCBI's taxonomy places the organism in Eukaryota, Metazoa, Mollusca, Gastropoda, Patellidae.
UGUGUUUAAAAGGACGCGUAAAGAGAACACUCACCAGUAGCGUUUAAUUUCAAGUUACAAUAUGUAUACUUCUUUAAUGCUGGUGUAUCUUGCGGUGGCUCUUACUUUUUCAAGUUGUACGGCACACAGAGGAAGAUGGUGGAACUCGCCGAGACGACCCGAAAUUAGCCUAAGAAGUUUACAUUGUGAUACAGUUGAAAAAUUUGAUCUCUGUCGUUGUUGUCCGGUAGAUCCAUGCGAUAGCGUGGAAUGUUUGAACGGGGGGAACUGUGUAGGUGGUAUUUGCGAAUGCGUAUCUGGUUACAGUGGACCAACAUGCAACAUAGAUCCAUGCGAUAGCGUGGAGUGCAUGAACGGAGGACAAUGUGUAGGUGAGGGUGUUUGUAAUUGUACCUUUGGUUUUGGUGGAACUACUUGUAACAUAAGAGUAUGUAACGUGACAGAGUGUAGUGAUAGAGGAGUAGGAGCGAGGUGUGUCAGUUUAAGAUGUAAGACCAAUGCCACAAAUUGUGGAGGUAUAGCCUGUAAUACAACUAACAACGAAUUGUGUAUUGAUGAUACUUGUGUAGUCGAAAAUGACAAUUGUGGUUCAAUGGGUUCAGAUACCGGCAUAUUUAACGCCUGUGUACCUAUUGGUGAACCAUGUGGGGAAGGUACAUUCUGUGUUAAGGGUAGAACUUGUGUAACUGACACGUGCAGGUAUGUAGAUAUCUGUAAUGAGCAGAAUGAUGAUACACCUUGCUUCGCAAUCACUACUGGCACUUGUUCAGGUGGAGUUUGUCUCGGACCAUGCAGUGACGACAUUCAGUGUAAUGGUAGGCCAUGUAUUGGUGGAUUCUGUGCAGUCAUUUACUGUGGAGAAUCAUAUUGUUUAUUGUGAGGAAGCAAGUUAUGUUACAUCCACAGAUUGAUCAACUACUAAUAUAUAAAAUUCAAUAAACUAAAUUGUAAUAUUUAAAAACUAUUAUAAGAUUUAAUAUAAUAAAGUAUAUUGUUAUAUUUAACUACUUCUUUAAAAUAAUUAAAUGCUAUUUUGUUCUUUCUUUAUAAAUUAUAUUCAUCUAAACCAAGAAACACAAUAAAUUCAUCUGUACUUCUUCAUAAAAACCAGAUAAACUAACAAGUACAAGAUAUUAAAAUGUAACCAAGAUUA